This 86-nucleotide transfer RNA is filed under the name Falsiroseomonas algicola. RNAcentral describes it as "tRNA-Leu". It matches the Rfam family "tRNA". Rfam says of the family: Transfer RNA (tRNA) molecules are approximately 80 nucleotides in length. The record is from RNAcentral. Lineage: Bacteria; Pseudomonadati; Pseudomonadota; Alphaproteobacteria; Acetobacterales; Roseomonadaceae.
GCGGGCGUGGCGAAAUGGUAGACGCGACGGACUCAAAAUCCGUUUCUGGCGACAGAGUGUCGGUUCGAGCCCGACCGCCCGCACCA